GCCGGAUUAGCUAGUUGGUGGGGUAAUGGCCUACCAAGGCGACGAUCCGUAGCUGGUCUGAGAGGACGACCAGCCACACUGGGACUGAGACACGGCCCAGACUCCUACGGGAGGCAGCAGUGGGGAAUUUUGGACAAGGGGGGUAACCCUGAUCCAGCCAUGCCGCGUGUGUGAAGAAGGCCUUCGGGUUGUAAAGCACUUUCGGACGGAACGAAAGCGCGCGAUCUAACAAGUCGCGUGGAUGACGGUACCGUAAGAAGAAGCACCGGCUAACUACGUGCCAGCAGCCGCGGUAAUACGUAGGGUGCGAGCGUUAAUCGGAAUUACUGGGCGUAAAGUGUGCGCAGGCGGCCGCGCAAGUCGAGUGUGAAAACCCCGGGCUUAACUUGGGAAUUGCGCUCGAAACUACGUGGCUGGAGUGUGGCAGAGGAAGGUGGAAUUCCACGUGUAGCGGUGAAAUGCGUAGAGAUGUGGAGGAACACCAAUGGCGAAGGCAGCCUUCUGG
RNAcentral lists this ribosomal RNA (505 nucleotides) under uncultured beta proteobacterium. Its description in RNAcentral is "bacterial SSU rRNA". It matches the Rfam family "Bacterial small subunit ribosomal RNA", at positions 235 to 732 of the family's 1533-position model. Lineage: Bacteria; Pseudomonadati; Pseudomonadota; Betaproteobacteria. The record is from RNAcentral.